GGAUAUAACUCAGUUGGUAGAGUGCUUGCCUAGCAUGCACAAGGCCCUGGGUUCAAUCCCCAGCACCA
RNAcentral lists this transfer RNA (68 nucleotides) under Marmota monax (woodchuck). RNAcentral's name for it is "tRNA.Ala". The stretch from base 6 to 63 matches the Rfam family "tRNA", at positions 8 to 63 of the family's 71-position model. Rfam says of the family: Transfer RNA (tRNA) molecules are approximately 80 nucleotides in length. Their secondary structure includes four short double-helical elements and three loops (D, anti-codon, and T loops). The record is from RNAcentral. Lineage: Eukaryota; Metazoa; Chordata; Mammalia; Rodentia; Sciuridae.